This 253-nucleotide ribosomal RNA is filed under the name uncultured bacterium. Its description in RNAcentral is "partial 16S ribosomal RNA". It matches the Rfam family "Bacterial small subunit ribosomal RNA", at positions 524 to 776 of the family's 1533-position model. The record is from RNAcentral.
UACGUAGGGUGCAAGCGUUACUCGGAAUUACUGGGCGUAAAGCGUGCGCAGGCGGCUAUGCAAGACAGAUGUGAAAUCCCCGGGCUUAACCUGGGAACUGCAUUUGUGACUGCAUGGCUAGAGUACGGUAGAGGGGGAUGGAAUUCCGCGUGUAGCAGUGAAAUGCGUAGAUAUGCGGAGGAACACCGAUGGCGAAGGCAAUCCCCUGGACCUGUACUGACGCUCAUGCACGAAAGCGUGGGGAGCAAACAGG